Molecule: ribosomal RNA, 2921 nt
Filed under: Lactiplantibacillus plantarum
Lineage: Bacteria; Bacillati; Bacillota; Bacilli; Lactobacillales; Lactobacillaceae
Description: 23S ribosomal RNA
Rfam family: Bacterial large subunit ribosomal RNA
Source: RNAcentral
GGUUAAGUUAACAAGGGCGCAUGGUGAAUGCCUUGGCACUAGGAGCCGAUGAAGGACGGGACUAACACCGAUAUGCUUCGGGGAGCUGUACGUAAGCUAUGAUCCGGAGAUUUCCGAAUGGGGCAACCCAGCAGUUUUAAUCAACUGUUACCACUAGAUGAAUUCAUAGUCUAGUUGGAGGUAAACGCUGUGAACUGAAACAUCUCAUUAGCAGCAGGAAUAUAAAGAAAUUUCGAUUCCCUAAGUAGCGGCGAGCGAACGGGGAACAGCCCAAACCAAAGUGCUUGCACUUUGGGGUUGUAGGACUGAACAUUUGAGUUACCAAAGAACUUGAUAGUCGAAGGAUUUGGGAAAAUCCGCCAUAGAUGGUGAUAGCCCAGUAGAUUAAAUCAAAUUCUCUCAGUUCAGGAUCCUGAGUACGGCGGAACACGUGAAAUUCCGUCGGAAUCCGGGAGGACCAUCUCCCAAGGCUAAAUACUACCUAGUGACCGAUAGUGAACCAGUACCGUGAGGGAAAGGUGAAAAGCACCCCGGGAGGGGAGUGAAAUAGUUCCUGAAACCAUGUGCCUACAAUAAGUCAGAGCGCGUUAAUGCGUGAUGGCGUGCCUUUUGUAGAAUGAACCGGCGAGUUAUGAUCCCGUGCAAGGUUAAGACUAAAAAGUCGGAGCCGUAGCGAAAGCGAGUCUGAAAUGGGCGUUUUGAGUACGAGGUUAUAGACCCGAAACCAGGUGACCUAUCCAUGUCCAGGUUGAAGGUGCGGUAAAACGCACUGGAGGACCGAACCCGUGUAAGUUGAAAAUUGCUGGGAUGAGGUGUGGAUAGCGGUGAAAUUCCAAACGAACUUGGAGAUAGCUGGUUCUCUCCGAAAUAGCUUUAGGGCUAGCCUCGGAAUUAGGAUCAUGGAGGUAGAGCACUAUUUGGACUAGGGGCCCGUCUUGGGUUACUGAAUUCAGAUAAACUCCGAAUGCCAUUGAUUCAUAUCCGGGAGUCAGACGAUGAGUGAUAAGAUCCACCGUCGAAAGGGGAACAGCCCAGACCAUCAGUUAAGGUCCCUAAAUGUAUGCUAAGUGGAAAAGGAUGUGGAGUUGCAUAGACAACUAGGAUGUUGGCUCAGAAGCAGCCACCAUUUAAAGAGUGCGUAAUAGCUCACUAGUCGAGUGAUCCUGCGCCGAAAAUGUACCGGGGCUAAGCAUACUACCGAAACCAUGGAUGCGACCAUUAGGUCGCGUGAUAGGAGAGCGUUCUAAGGGCGGUGAAGCAAGAUCGUGAGGACUUGUGGAGCGCUUAGAAGUGAGAAUGCCGGUAUGAGUAGCGAAAGAUAGGUGAGAAUCCUAUCCACCGAAUGACUAAGGUUUCCUGGGGAAGGCUCGUCCUCCCAGGGUUAGUCGGGACCUAAGUCGAGGCCGAGAGGCGUAGACGAUGGAUAACAGGUUGAGAUUCCUGUACUAGUUAAGUGCGUUUGAGCAAUGGAGGGACGCAGGAGGCUAAGAUGUGCAUUCUGUUGGAUUAGAAUGUCCAAGCAGUAAGUCUUGUGAAGAGUCAAAUGCUUUUCACUUUAAGGACAAGCUGUGAUGGGGAGCGAAAUUUAGUAGCGAAGCGUCUGAUGUCACACUGCCGAGAAAAGCUUCUAGUGAGUACUUAACUACCCGUACCGCAAACCGACACAGGUAGUCGAGGAGAGAAUCCUAAGGUGAGCGAGUGAACUCUCGUUAAGGAACUCGGCAAAAUGACCCCGUAACUUCGGGAGAAGGGGUGCUGAUCGCAAGAUCAGCCGCAGUGAAUAGGCCCAGGCGACUGUUUAUCAAAAACACAGGUCUCUGCAAAAUCGUAAGAUGACGUAUAGGGGCUGACGCCUGCCCGGUGCUGGAAGGUUAAAAGGAUGGGUUAGCUUCGGCGAAGCUCAGAAUUGAAGCCCCAGUAAACGGCGGCCGUAACUAUAACGGUCCUAAGGUAGCGAAAUUCCUUGUCGGGUAAGUUCCGACCCGCACGAAAGGCGUAACGAUCUGGGCACUGUCUCAACGAGAGACUCGGUGAAAUUAUAUUGUCCGUGAAGAUGCGGACUACCCGCGACAGGACGGAAAGACCCCAUGGAGCUUUACUGUAGCUUGAUAUUGAGUGUUUGUACAGCUUGUACAGGAUAGGUAGGAGCCAUAGAAACCGGAACGCUAGUUUCGGUGGAGGCGUUGGUGGGAUACUACCCUCGCUGUAUGACCACUCUAACCCGCACCACUAAUCGUGGUGGGAGACAGUGUCAGGUGGGCAGUUUGACUGGGGCGGUCGCCUCCUAAAAAGUAACGGAGGCGCCCAAAGGUUCCCUCAGAAUGGUUGGAAAUCAUUCGUAGAGUGUAAAGGCACAAGGGAGCUUGACUGCGAGACAGACAGGUCGAGCAGGGACGAAAGUCGGGCUUAGUGAUCCGGUGGUACCGUAUGGAAGGGCCAUCGCUCAACGGAUAAAAGCUACCCUGGGGAUAACAGGCUUAUCUCCCCCAAGAGUCCACAUCGACGGGGAGGUUUGGCACCUCGAUGUCGGCUCAUCGCAUCCUGGGGCUGUAGUCGGUCCCAAGGGUUGGGCUGUUCGCCCAUUAAAGCGGUACGCGAGCUGGGUUCAGAACGUCGUGAGACAGUUCGGUCCCUAUCCGUCGCGGGCGUAGGAAAUUUGAGAGGACCUGUCCUUAGUACGAGAGGACCGGGAUGGACAUACCUCUGGUGUACCAGUUGUGCCGCCAGGCGCAUCGCUGGGUAGCUACGUAUGGAUGUGAUAAACGCUGAAAGCAUCUAAGUGUGAAACACACCUCGAGAUGAGAUUUCCCAUUCCUUUAUGGAAGUAAGACCCCUGAAAGAUGAUCAGGUAGAUAGGUUAGAAGUGGCAGUGCGGUGACGCAUGAAGCGGACUAAUACUAAUCGGUCGAGGACUUAACCAA